Callorhinchus milii (elephant shark) is the source of this 135-nucleotide small nucleolar RNA. RefSeq annotates it as small nucleolar RNA SNORA49. The transcript has a single exon. Lineage: Eukaryota; Metazoa; Chordata; Chondrichthyes; Chimaeriformes; Callorhinchidae. The record is from RefSeq and is a predicted model, not a curated record.
AUCCCCAACCUUACUAUGGGCACAAGCAACAAAAUCUUGUGUACUGACAUUGUGUUGGGGUAGAUUAAAAAGCCUCUUCCCUCCCCAGCAAGAAUCGAUUUGUAUUCUCUGGGGCCUGCAUUGUGGGUUAACAAU